This 45-nucleotide ribosomal RNA is filed under the name Salmo salar (Atlantic salmon). The record is from RNAcentral. Lineage: Eukaryota; Metazoa; Chordata; Actinopteri; Salmoniformes; Salmonidae.
AAGCUGAGCAUGGCUGGGCUUGGUUAAAACCCUGGAUGGGAGACC